AAGAAACUGUGGUGCAGAUUGAAGGUUGUGAGAAAAAGAGUUCUUUCUUCGCUAGUUCAUGUGUUGGCCCAACUCUAAGUGAAGUGUGUGACUUUGUUUGCAAGAAUGGGGACAAAUUACUAGGUGGUUCCUGCAAAAAUGAGGAGUGCAUGUGUGUCUGUUGAAUUUGCAACUAUAUAAAUAAAUAAGUAAAGCUAGUUCAUGUUCAUGAAAUAAAUCAGAUCCAAUCAAUGCUCUUCCUUUGUUGAGAAUAAAAUUAAUUAGUAUGAAUUAUAUAUCUCACUACUUGGUUAAGUUACUUGCUGUGCAAGUAACCAAUUGAUGUAGUUAGAUAGUAUUGGGCCUAGUUAGGUGAUUAUAAAUCCAUUUACAAUGUUGUAUAAAUAUGGAUGAAUGAAAACAAGUUGUUGUA
RNAcentral lists this long non-coding RNA (412 nucleotides) under Medicago truncatula (barrel medic). Its description in RNAcentral is "lncRNA gene44833". Lineage: Eukaryota; Viridiplantae; Streptophyta; Magnoliopsida; Fabales; Fabaceae. The record is from RNAcentral.